AGACCGAUAGCGAACAAGUACCGUGAGGGAAAGAUGAAAAGCACUUUGGAAAGAGAGUUAAACAGUACGUGAAAUUGUUGAAAGGGAAACGAUUGAAGUCAGUCAUGUCUGUUGGUUUCAGCUUACUCUGUAAGUGUAUUACCUUCAGACGGGUCAACAUCAGUUUUGGUGCGGUGGAUAAGAACGGAUUGAAGGUGGCACCCUCGGGUGUGUUAUAGCUUUCCGUUGCAUACGCUGCCUGAGACUGAGGACUGCAGCUCGCGCUCACGCGCCGCCCCUCGGGGACGUUCGAGCUUAGGAUGUUGGCAUAAUGGCUUUAAACGACCCGUCUUGAAACACGGACCAAG
This 347-nucleotide ribosomal RNA is filed under the name Dioszegia sp. ICE99-1ToM Y23. Its description in RNAcentral is "LSU rRNA". It matches the Rfam family "Eukaryotic large subunit ribosomal RNA", at positions 331 to 670 of the family's 3401-position model. The record is from RNAcentral. Lineage: Eukaryota; Fungi; Basidiomycota; Tremellomycetes; Tremellales; Bulleribasidiaceae.